AGUAGAUUUCUCAGCUCCACGAGUCUGGCUAUGAAAUAUUUACUCAUGGGUGGGACAUGCUCUUCUAUUCUGAUUCAUGGUUUCUCUUGGCUAUAUGGUUCAUUUGGGGGGAUCGAGCUUCAAGAAAUUGUGAACGGUCUUAUCAAUACACAAAUGUAUAACUCCCCAGGAAUUUUAAUUGUGCGUAUAUCCAUCACUGUAGGACUUGGGUUUAAGCUUUCCCCAACCCCUUUUCAUCAAUGGACUCCUGACGACGAGGCCCUUUUCCCCUUAGCUUGUGGGUGGUAG
Molecule: ribosomal RNA, 288 nt
Filed under: Triticum aestivum (bread wheat)
Lineage: Eukaryota; Viridiplantae; Streptophyta; Magnoliopsida; Poales; Poaceae
Description: partial small subunit ribosomal RNA
Source: RNAcentral